AUGGCGGUUCAGGGCGUGGUGCAGGGUUGUAGGCCGAUGCUGUUGGUGAUCUGGGGAACGUCGGGACCCAAAGCAGAGGAGCAGGUGCUGCUCCGGCGACGCAUCGGCACAGGGAACAGAAGGAAAAGCACGGGCAGGAGGAAGGCCAUGGCGGAGGUACGCGAUGGGCGCUUGGGGCGCCGGCGGCGGUCUCAGCAAGGAGAAGGGCACGACGGGGUGGCCUGGAGGUCAAGGAGGCAGGCGGGUUCGCGGGAUGUGGUAUGGCAUGACGUCGAGAGAGAGGCCGGUGGCGGCGCCAUGGCUUGGAGACGACGGCGACGACAAGACUCGGGCUAG
This 336-nucleotide ribosomal RNA is filed under the name Triticum aestivum (bread wheat). RNAcentral's name for it is "partial small subunit ribosomal RNA". Lineage: Eukaryota; Viridiplantae; Streptophyta; Magnoliopsida; Poales; Poaceae. The record is from RNAcentral.